Molecule: ribosomal RNA, 497 nt
Filed under: uncultured bacterium
Lineage: Bacteria
Description: partial 16S ribosomal RNA
Rfam family: Bacterial small subunit ribosomal RNA
Source: RNAcentral
GACGAACGCUGGCGGCGUGCCUAAUACAUGCAAGUCGAACGCUGAAGAGAGGAGCUUGCUCUUCUUGGAUGAGUUGCGAACGGGUGAGUAACGCGUAGGUAACCUGCCUUGUAGCGGGGGAUAACUAUUGGAAACGAUAGCUAAUACCGCAUAACAAUGGAUGACACAUGUCAUUUAUUUGAAAGGGGCAAUUGCUCCACUACAAGAUGGACCUGCGUUGUAUUAGCUAGUAGGUGAGGUAAUGGCUCACCUAGGCGACGAUACAUAGCCGACCUGAGAGGGUGAUCGGCCACACUGGGACUGAGACACGGCCCAGACUCCUACGGGAGGCAGCAGUAGGGAAUCUUCGGCAAUGGGGGCAACCCUGACCGAGCAACGCCGCGGGAGUGAAGAAGAUUUUCGGAUCGUAAAGCUCUGUUGUAAGUCAAGAACGGGUGUGAGAGUGGAAAGUUCACACUGUGACGGUAGCUUACCAGAAAGGGACGGCUAACUACGUG